Molecule: unclassified non-coding RNA, 1174 nt
Filed under: Hevea brasiliensis (rubber tree)
Lineage: Eukaryota; Viridiplantae; Streptophyta; Magnoliopsida; Malpighiales; Euphorbiaceae
Source: RNAcentral
AAAAAAAAAAAAAGAUCUUAUACUGAAUAUCAGAUAGCAUAACCCCAACUACUUGUAGCUAUACGGAGUACAAGUUUGUGUAUCUGAAGGUGCGUAUUUGUGCAAGAUUUGUGUCCCUCUUCUUCUCUCAUUCACAUACAACCAUCCGCGUGUUGGCUUCCUACUUUUAUGCACGGAGCUGAACUUCAUUAAUUUCAGAGGCAGCUAUGGUUUGGAGAAUUCACACCACCGUGGCAGCUUUUGCAGUUGCGUAGUCUGAUCAGUUUCUAUUUGCAUCCCGCAAAAUUCCAAUUCAUUUCCUCCAUCUUUGCAUUUUACUGAAAUGUUCUUCUCUUGAUGCUCCUCAUCCAAAGAUUAUUUGCCAAUUUAGUCCAUGCUUCGCUCUUAUAUAUAGUUUCCUUUAAAUUAAAUCAAGCCCAGAAAUCCCACCACUGACAACCAGUAUUUGAUUGAUCGAAAAGGCCAUCAGAGUCUAAACUUCGCCAAUCUUCUUGUGAUGUCCAUGAUCCAUCAGCGUGUUCCACUAUGCUCAUAAGGUUGGGUUCUUCCUCUAAUCCAAAGUAUUCAACCUUUAUUCUAUCAUCUUCAUCUGAAGGAACUCCCAAUCCAUGUGCUGAUCUUUCAAAUGACAAGCUGGGCUUCGCUUCUGAAUCACACUUUUUGGUGUCUCCAUUUUCCGAUUCACCUUCACUGCUAUUCACAGCUACUCCCUGCCCACACCACUCGCCUUCCUCUCUUGGCUUCUGCAUCAGAUCAUUUAGCUUCUGCAACUGAAUUGCCAACGCCUGCUUCUCCUUCUUCAGAGUGGAUACUAUUAGCCAAUUACAAUAGCUUGGCUUCCAGGUUUGAGUCUCUUUCGAGCUGCUUGGACUUCCAUCUAGCUCUCUUAUUCUGAAACCAUAUUGCAACCUGUUUUGGCUGCAAUCCAAGCUCUUUAGCAAGCUCAAGUUUCUUUCGAGCCUCGAGCCUUGACUCGGAUUCAAACAUAGAUUCUAAUGAUUUAACUUGUUCAUCACUAAACCUCCUCUUGUUCCUGUUCUUCUUCUUUCUCGUGGCUGCGAGUGCGUCGAGAUUGGGGAAAAAGGGCUCCUGUGUGGAAGGAGGAUAUUCAACCUUAUCUAACAUCAUGUUGUAGGGAUGCGCAGUGGAGUGGUUAGACAACGUUUUAAUCUAU